Molecule: ribosomal RNA, 440 nt
Filed under: uncultured bacterium
Lineage: Bacteria
Description: partial 16S ribosomal RNA
Rfam family: Bacterial small subunit ribosomal RNA
Source: RNAcentral
CCUACGGGUGGCAGCAGUGGGGAAUAUUGCACAAUGGGGGAAACCCUGAUGCAGCAACGCCGCGUGAGUGAAGAAGUUUCUCGGUAUGUAAAGCCUUAUCAGCAGGGAAGCAGAUGACGGUACCCGAUUAAGAAGCCCCGGCUAACUACGUGCCAGCAGCCGCGGUAAUACGUAGGGGGCAAGCGUUAUCCGGAUUUACCGGGUGUAAAGGGAGCGCAGACGGCAGUGCAAGUCUGGAGUGAAAGCUCGGGGCCCAACCCCGGAACCGCUCUGGAAACUGUGAGGCUAGAGUACUGGAGGGGCAGGCGGAAUUCGUAGUGUAGCGGUGAAAUGCGUAGAUAUUAGGAAGAACACCAGUGGCGAAGGCGGCCUGCUGGACAGUAACUGACGUUGAGGCUCGAAAGCGUGGGGAGCAAACAGGAUUAGAUACCCGAGUAGUC